AUGUGUGCUGCAAAAAGAGUUGGUGGUCUCGGUUUCCGUGAUCCCGAGAGCUUCAACCAAGCUUUGCUUGCGAAACAGGCGUGGCGGAUUCUCAAAGAACCGAACUCACUUUGCGCAAGAGUGCUCAAAGCCCGCUAUUUCAAGGAGCAAACGAUCAUGUCGGCCACUUGCCCUUCCAACGCUUCCUACACUUUUCGCAGUGUGUUGCAUGGG
This 213-nucleotide ribosomal RNA is filed under the name Triticum aestivum (bread wheat). RNAcentral describes it as "partial small subunit ribosomal RNA". The record is from RNAcentral. Lineage: Eukaryota; Viridiplantae; Streptophyta; Magnoliopsida; Poales; Poaceae.